RNAcentral lists this small nucleolar RNA (138 nucleotides) under Ornithorhynchus anatinus (platypus). The record is from RNAcentral. Lineage: Eukaryota; Metazoa; Chordata; Mammalia; Monotremata; Ornithorhynchidae.
CACCUCUCAGGGUCAUACCUGGAGAGUUUCCAGAACUCUACCAGUCUUGACUAUGAGAGAGAGAGUCAAGCAGAGGCCUAUCCAUUCCAUUACUAGCUUGGCCAGUGGCUAGCGAGUGGAAAGCAAUCUGCUACAAGU